Molecule: long non-coding RNA, 359 nt
Organism: Diuraphis noxia (Russian wheat aphid)
Lineage: Eukaryota; Metazoa; Arthropoda; Insecta; Hemiptera; Aphididae
Source: RefSeq, a predicted model, not a curated record
UCUAUUCUGUAAUGUUGUAUUAUGGUUUUAUGUUUUAUCAUUUAUCUUAACAUCACGUCAACCGUUGUACGUUACUGUUAUUUUUUUUCUCAUAUUUCAAUAUUCAAUUUAGAUAGUUUUGAAUGUUUUGAUUGUUUUGAAUGCCCGAGUCCGGAGGUACUUUGUAAGUUGUCAAUGACUUCUAAUAGCUAAUUAUUAGUUAAUAGUUAUAACAACAGUAGUUCAAGUCCAAACUCUGAAGUCUCUGAUUAAAAGUUAAGAAAUGAUGGUAGUCAAGACUUGUCAACAUUGAAGAAUUCAACGCGUGUUAACCCAUAACAAUUAACAAAAAAAAUAAUUUCCGAUCAAAAUGGACAAAA